This 555-nucleotide ribosomal RNA is filed under the name Trichoderma longibrachiatum. RNAcentral's name for it is "eukaryotic LSU rRNA". The stretch from base 202 to 355 matches the Rfam family "5.8S ribosomal RNA". The record is from RNAcentral. Lineage: Eukaryota; Fungi; Ascomycota; Sordariomycetes; Hypocreales; Hypocreaceae.
AUUUGAAUGUUAACAUUUUGUUGCCUUGGGCGGGAUUCUUUGCCCCCGGGCGCGUAGCAGCCCCGGAUCCCAUGGCGCCCGCCGGAGGACCUAACUCCAAACUCUUUUUUUCUCUCCGUCGCGGCUCCCGUCGCGGCUCUGUUUUAUUUUUGCUCUGAGCCUUUCUCGGCGACCCUAGCGGGCGUCUCGAAAAUGAAUCAAAACUUUCAACAACGGAUCUCUUGGUUCUGGCAUCGAUGAAGAACGCAGCGAAAUGCGAUAAGUAAUGUGAAUUGCAGAAUUCAGUGAAUCAUCGAAUCUUUGAACGCACAUUGCGCCCGCCAGUAUUCUGGCGGGCAUGCCUGUCCGAGCGUCAUUUCAACCCUCGAACCCCUCCGGGGGGUCGGCGUUGGGGAUCGGCCCCUCACCGGGCCGCCCCCGAAAUACAGUGGCGGUCUCGCCGCAGCCUCUCCUGCGCAGUAGUUUGCACACUCGCACCGGGAGCGCGGCGCGGCCACAGCCGUAAAACACCCCAAACUUCUGAAAUGUGACCUCGGAUCAGGUAGAAACCCGAUC